Molecule: ribosomal RNA, 659 nt
Filed under: Nematoda environmental sample
Lineage: Eukaryota; Metazoa; Nematoda
Description: SSU rRNA
Rfam family: Eukaryotic small subunit ribosomal RNA
Source: RNAcentral
UUGUUGACUCAGAAUAACUAAGCUGAUCGCAUGGUCUAGUACCGGCGACGUGUCUUUCAAGUAUCUGCCCUAUCAACUUUCGAUGGUAGUGUAUCUGACUACCAUGGUGAUUACGGGUAACGGAGGAUAAGGGUUCGACUCCGGAGAAGGGGCCUGAGAAAUGGCCACUACGUCUAAGGAUGGCAGCAGGCGCGCAAAUUACCCACUCUCAGAAUGAGGAGGUAGUGACGAGAAAUAACGAGACUGUUCUCUUUGAGGCCAGUCAUCGGAAUGGGUACAAUCUAAACCCUUUAACGAGUAUCUAUGAGAGGGCAAGUCUGGUGCCAGCAGCCGCGGUAAUUCCAGCUCUCAAAAUGCAUAGAAUUAUUGCUGCGGUUAAAAAGCUCGUAGUUGGAUCUGUGUCGCGAGGUUGGGUCCGUCUGUUAGGCGUGUACUCAAUUCUCCGACUUUUUGCUGGUUUUCCUGGCAUGGUUUUAAUCGAUUGUGUCAGGUGGCUGGCGAUUUUACUUUGAACAAAUCAGAGUGCUCAACACAGGCGUUUCGCUUGAAUGUUUUUGCAUGGAAUAAUAGAAAAGGAUUUCGGUCCUAUUUUAUUGGUUUUAUAGGCUGAAAUAAUGGUUAAUAGAGACAAACGGGGCCAUUACUAUUGUUGCGUGAGA